RNAcentral lists this ribosomal RNA (485 nucleotides) under uncultured bacterium. RNAcentral's name for it is "bacterial SSU rRNA". It matches the Rfam family "Bacterial small subunit ribosomal RNA", at positions 30 to 508 of the family's 1533-position model. The record is from RNAcentral.
AUUGAACGCUGGCGGCAGGCCUAACACAUGAAAGUCGAGCGGUAGAGAGAAGCUUGCUUCUCUUGAGAGCGGCGGACGGGUGAGUAAUGCCUAGGAAUCUGCCUGGUAGUGGGGGAUAACGUUCGGAAACGGACGCUAAUACCGCAUACGUCCUACGGGAGAAAGCAGGGGACCUUCGGGCCUUGCGCUAUCAGAUGAGCCUAGGUCGGAUUAGCUAGUUGGUGAGGUAAUGGCUCACCAAGGCGACGAUCCGUAACUGGUCUGAGAGGAUGAUCAGUCACACUGGAACUGAGACACGGUCCAGACUCCUACGGGAGGCAGCAGUGGGGAAUAUUGGACAAUGGGCGAAAGCCUGAUCCAGCCAUGCCGCGUGUGUGAAGAAGGUCUUCGGAUUGUAAAGCACUUUAAGUUGGGAGGAAGGGCAUUAACCUAAUACGUUAGUGUUUUGACGUUACCGACAGAAUAAGCACCGGCUAACUCUGUGC